GGAAUUUUGGACAAUGGGCGAAAGCCUGAUCCAGCCAUUCCGCGUGCAGGAUGAAGGCCCUCGGGUUGUAAACUGCUUUUGUACAGAACGAAAAGGUUUCUAUUAAUACUAGGAGCUCAUGACGGUACUGUAAGAAUGAGCACCGGCUAACUACGUGCCAGCAGCCGCGGUAAUACGUAGGGUGCAAGCGUUAAUCGGAAUUACUGGGCGUAAAGCGUGCGCAGGCGGUUAUAUAAGUCAGAUGUGAAAUCCCCGGGCUCAACCUGGGAACUGCAUUUGAGACUGUAUAGCUAGAGUACGGUAGAGGGGGAUGGAAUUCCGCGUGUAGCAGUGAAAUGCGUAGAUAUGCGGAGGAACACCGAUGGCGAAGGCAAUCCCCUGGACCUGUACUGACGCUCAUGCACGAAAGCGUGGGGAGCAAACAGGAUUAGAUACCCUGGUAGUCCACGCCCUAAACGAUGUCAACUGGUUGUUGGGUCUUAACUGACUCAGUAACGAAGCUAACGCGUGAAGUUGACCGCCUGGGGAGUACGGCCGCAAGGUUGAAACUCAAAUGAAUUGACGG
This 565-nucleotide ribosomal RNA is filed under the name uncultured bacterium. RNAcentral's name for it is "bacterial SSU rRNA". It matches the Rfam family "Bacterial small subunit ribosomal RNA", at positions 358 to 916 of the family's 1533-position model. The record is from RNAcentral.